GCACUUGUUUACUGAUGCAGGAUGGGUUAAGUGCAUCAAUAGGGGUUGAGAAUCCAUGCAUCAUAUUGGGUAGUGCAUCCUCUUGUGCAUGUCGUGUGGUGAAUAUGUUUGUUGAUGCUUGUUUUCGGUUCCCUUCGUCUCGAUAGAGUUCUGCAAGCGUGUUGGAUUGUGAGGACCCGUUCGACUACAUCGGUUCGUCUGCUUCACCGAGUUGUUCUUCUUCCAAGCGGGAUCUCAGGCAAGAUGACCAUUUCCCCAGAUACCAUUACUAUCAUUGCCAUGCUAGCUUUACCGCCUCUAUCGAUUAUGUCUCGUUGCCUACCACAUGUUAAAUAUCAGCCUCCCAAUCAUGCCAUGAUAACCUUCAACCUGUUCGACCUAGCAAACCACUGAUUGGCUAUGUUACUGUUUGCUUAACCAUGUUGUUAGCGUUGCUAGUUGCAGGUGUAGUUGCUUCCAUGCGAAAGCAUGGGUUCCUUGUUAUAUCACCAUAUUAAUGCUAUUUAACUUAAUGGACCUAUAUACUUGGUAAAAGGUGGAAGGCUCGGCCUUUCUAGCCUGGUGUUUUGUUCCACCUUUCUAGCCCCCUUAGUUUCGGCUACCGGUGUUAUGUUCCAUAAUUGAGCGCUCCUAACACGAUCGGGGUUGUUAUGGGGACCCCCUUGAUAAUUCGUUUUAGAUUAAAGCUGGUCUGGCAAGGCCCAACUUUGGUACUACAUUUGCCUAAUCACCUAAUAAAAUUGCAUAGGGACUUCCCGGGCCCCGAGGAUAAUUUAAUCAACCCCCGGGCCAGUGCUCCUCAUGAGUGUUGGUCCCACCUGAGCAAUGUCCGGCGCCCCUCUGGUCACCCGGAGGUUUAGCGAUCCCGACGUCUAGCUCAUCCGCCGUGUCCUGAGAACGAGGUACGCGACUCCUAUCGGGAUCGUCGACACGUCGGGCGGCCUUGCUGGAUUAGUUUUACCUUUGACGAGAUAUCUUGUGCAUCGGGAUUCCGGUGACGCUUUGGGUAAUCUCAGAGUUGAGGUUUUCCACUAUGGAAUCCGACGAGAUCGCGAGCUUCGUGAUUGAGGAUUUAUAUGCGGCUUGUGGUAAUUUGUGAUGGACUAGUUGGAGCACCCCUGCAGGGUUAAAUCUUUUGGAAAGCCGUGCCCGCGGCUAUGUGGCAACGUGGAAACUUUGUUUAACACUGGUUCUAGAUAACUUGAAGUUAACUUAAUUAAAACAUGCCAACUGUGUGCGUAACCGUGACUGUCUCUUUCGUGAGUUCUUACUCCGAUCGAGGACACGGUGGGGUUAUGUCUGACGUAGAUAGGUGUUCAGGAUCAUUCAUUUGAUCAUCAGUAGUUCACGUCCGUUAUGCGUAGAUCUUCCCCUUCUUAUUUCUUGUACUCAUAAGUUAGCCACCAAAUAUAUGCUUAGCCGCUGCUGCAACCUCACCACUUAACCAUGCCUCACCCAUUAAGCUUUGCUAGUCUUGAUACCUUUGGAAAUGAGAUUGCUGAGUCCCCUAUGGCUCACAGAUUACUACAACACCAGUUGCAGGCACAGGUAAAGGUUACCCGACGCGAGCGCGUUGAUUGUUCAUUUAGAGUUGCUUCUUCUUCUUCUUCUUCAUCGAUCUAGGAUGGGUUCCAGGCCGACAGCCUGGGAUAGCAAGGAUGGACGUCGUUCUUCUUUUGUCGUUUGUUUUCGUCCGUAGUCGGACCCUGCUCUUUCUCUUGAUGAUUAUGUAAUGUACUGUCGUGACUCUGAUGUAGCUUGUGGCGAGUGUAAGCCAACUCUCUAUAUAUAUCUCUUCUUUUCAGUACAUGUACUUGUAACGAUAUCCAUUCUUGCGACACGACGAGAUGCGCUUCUAUCCCUGACGAGGCCCCCGUGCCAAAUUGAGGAUAUGGUCGCAUCUUGGGUAUGACAAGUUGGUAUCAGAGCCGUACCAACCUAGGAGCCCCCUUGAUUGAUCGAACUUGGCCGAGUCGAGUCUAGUGAAAAACUGCUUUGAGUCUAGUUAUAUAUCGGAGAGUAGAGUUCUUUUUUCCCCUCUUCUAUGCUCUGGUGAGGAAUCUUGACGUAAUAUUUUAAUUCUACUCGUCUUCUCACUCAAUUUUUUUUUAGGAUCACGCGGAUAUUCUUGCGAUCUAUAUGAUGCCGAUGUGACGGAGUUCUGUCUUGGUGCCUCCUAUCUGCUUUAAGUUUCAGGGGAGUUGAGCUCCAGGGUAUUCUCGAGCACAUCGUUAUCAUUCAGAUUUCUUAGUAUCUCAGAACGAAGGAUGUUCGUAAUUGCUUCAAUACUAGUAGUGGCGAGAUAACCCCGAUGUCCCUAGUACUGGUGCAGAUUGUUUGGGAGUACUGCCAUACUUUGUAUCAUUGUGAUCAUGAGGGUCUGUUGUAGAUGAAGGUCCGAGAUUCUGGUUGUGUGUUGACGGAUGUGAUACAUGUGAUGGGUUAGUAUAGGAGUUGUGUUAUUAUUACUCCUUGUAUCCGUGUACCGGAUUGCAUGACCAGAUAUUUCGGGAAUUCAUAGGUGGGAAUUCAAGUAGUUGCUUAUAGGACAAUCUUCCAACAAAUUCUUGAUGUUAGGUUGGGGUUCGACAUCUAGUGGAUUCGUUUGUUCACGGUCGACUUACAGCGGUACACGUUGUGUCUUAAAGAGUCCUUGUAGCUUGCUACGACUCGGGGACGCUUUGUAUGUCGGGUGCACUGCCUUGCACUUGAUGGCUACUGUAAGGAUCGAGCCCGUGCGAUCCUGUCCAUGAAAAUAUCGGACGAAAUCUUUCUCAUGAGUUUGUUCUGGCUUGUUUCAUAAGCCUCAUCCUUUGUUUUUUUGAAUAUGGUAAUUCAAGUUGCUUCGAUGUCAACUGGUGAUUUCAGAUCUUUCAUAAGAGGUGUUCUCAUAUUUUUAUGUCAAUGCUAAUUCUUUUGCUCAAUUAGACUGUCAUGUCAAUUCUUGUCAACCGGAGUCAUCGUAUCAAUUCCAUUCAACCGGUGUGCUUCUCUGCAACUGAAUUCAAUCUUAUCUAAUUUUGCAAGAUCAUUCUCUCUUUUAUUCCGGAGUUCAUCUCAUCUAGCCCAAGUUGUCUUUGUUUUUCCCCACCCUCCCGCCCUUUUUCUCAGUGAUUCAAUUUUCAUCGAAGAGUUUUCUUUCAUGUGCUUCCGUUAUCUGUUCUUUUCUCUCUUACCCGGUGAUUCAUUGUGAAGAUUCUUAGGAGCUUCAUGUUCAUCUUUAUUCAUUCUUGUGGUCUUUUCCCGGUGAAUUUAAUUCAGCUAUCCGUGUUCAUUAUAUCCUUUUUCAUCCUUUAAAUUCUUUCCUGUGUUGGAAAUUCUUUUCAGCCCAUCUUGUUAUUCAUUCUUCUCUUUCUAUUCGGUGUGUUGAAGAUAUCUCGGAAGUUUCGUGUUUUCUAUUCUUUAAGUAUUUCGAGGUUCUCAACCUCAUGUAGUUUUCAUUUGUACCGGUGCAUUCAAUCUGUCUUUCAAUCCUUUUAACGGUGGUUUAUUUGAGUGGCCCCAUAACCCACAGGUUUUUCCCAGGAUCUUUCCUGGCUCUUUUAAUCUUUUUCCGGAGAUCAUUAAAUCUUUCAACUAUGACGUAAGUUUGAUUUUUAUCAGUCAUAUCCCUUCUUCGAGAUCUAUUGGAAUUAAUUCUCAUAUUUGGCUCAACCUUGCAUUUCUCUUAUUCCGGAGUGUUUCAGCUAUUUUUGGUGUUGUUCCUCGUCAUCAUUCUCUCCAUUGAAAAUUCGAAGGAGUGUUUUUCUCGAAUCUUGGUCUAUUCUCUUGGAGAUUCGUCAUUUCAGCUUCGUGUUGUCAUCUUGAAUUUAUUUUCAAUCAUGAGUAAUCCCUUUCUUGCGAUCCGGUGCAUUUCUGAGUUGUUUUAUUUCUCGUUCCUCCGAAGGCCAUCAUUUCAGAAGACUUCUUCGUUCUCAGCUUUCAGCUUUCGUUCUCUAAUUCUUCUCAAUUGUUGUCUCUUCGUUCGUCUCUCGAUUAUCCGGUGCCUUGUUCAAGUUUUCUCUCAGGUGGCGCAUGAUCUCUUCAUUCUCAGAUGUUUCCAUGCAUUCUUGGAAUUUCCCAUUCAGUUGUGAAUUCUUACCGGUGCUUCCUUCAAUUAUGCCUCAAGUGGUGCUUAUCUCUCUGCCUCUUCAAGAUUCAUUUCUAGAGGAAUAAGUGUUAUGCUAAAUCCGUUGCUUGUCAUCAUCUAAACUUGAUGAAGGAUAGGCAUAACAUAAUUCUUAUUCUUGUUCUUCCUUCUUCCAAGGGAUUUCAAUUCUUCUUCCGGAGUGGCUCAUGAUAUCAAUUCCUUUUCUCAAGUGCUCUUAUCUUUUCUUUUCCGGAGUUCCAAGUUCUAUCAAGUUUCUCUUCGUGAAGCUUCAUCUAAAUCUUGGCAAGGUCAUAACCUUAUUCUUUUCUACCUUCAUAUCGUUGCAUCGUUCAUUUGUAUACGGAGGUCCUUCAUGGCGGUUCAUCAUGAUAUCAAUUCAUUCUCAAAGUGUUCUUCAAGAUUCUAUUGGAGAACCUCAAGUAUCCUUUGUCUUGCAUUUCUAUGUGCAGUUGUUCUUCCUUUAUCCUUUGCGGUGGUAUUAUAGCAUUCUUGUUAGUGUAGGAGCCUCGAAGAGAUUUCCUUUCAAGAAUGAGAUAAUUAAAUCCACCAAUCCUUUGAUCAUGAGAUUAUUCUUAACCCAUGAUUUCUUCAUUGAGCUAUCUUGGUUUGGAUUUCACCUAAAGCUUUUCCUAUGGAUUUCUUCUAUCAUGGUGCUUGUCAUUAAUCCAAGUUCUCAAUGUAUCCUCUUGGUGUAAGUAAUUGUUCAUAUCUUGUUUCUCCCAAUCAACCCUUGUUUCCGUUAGUGGCUGGUUGUCACUUCAUUAGUUUGAAAGGUUUCCUUAAGCCCACUACUAUCUUGUUCUUUUUGUUGUUAUUUUUUCAACAACUCCGUGCAAUUCUUCUUGCAAGGAUGCUUGCCAAGUUCAUUUGCGAUAAUAGUUGUCAUUCUCUCUUCAUUCUCUUCUUCCGUAUGAGCUAGUUCAUAUUCUCUUGUUCCGGAGGCAUUGUGAUGUUGCUCUUUGGGUCAAUCAUGUUAUCCUAUCAAGUUCAUGGUGUUCCCUUGUUCUAUUUAGUUGUUUGUUAUGUAUAUUGUCUAAUUCUCCUACCUUUUCGAAUUUUUGUCCCAUUUUCCUACCGAAGUGCUGCUGAAUUUUUCCGUGAAUUCUUGCUUAUUUCUCUUAUCAUUCCUCAUCUCUUUGCAACCUUGAAGGAUCGUUGGUUUCACUCGUUUGUCAAAGAAGCGACUAAAUUCUUACCUCAUGUUCUUUCUCAUCCUCUCCCCCUUUCAUUCUUGGAUCUCGGGGCGAGAUCCUCUUGUAGUGUAGGAGAGUUGUGACAGCCCGAUGCUGACGUUCCAGAAGAUUCCCCUUCUAUUCCGUUUUCGUCGUGUGCAUAUUUUCUUCUGUGGCAUCAUCAUCGCAUCAUGCACAUCAUCAACUUUGCAUCGGCAUCUCCGUGCCACCAGUUUUCAAAACUUGCAUCCGUUGUUAGUUGUCGAUUCUCGUCGUUGUUCGUUCCGAGUCCGACCGCACUCGCACGCGCCCGCGGCAUCGUCGAAACCCUGUUUUUAAAAGUGUGGGUAAAACUUUUUCAGCUUGGGGUGAGAUUUGACGUGCGGUGUUAUUUUAAUAUAGCUAGACCGCCUGUCGAAUUUCGUCGCGAUCGAAGUCCGUCUGGUACCCGAACGGUCGACCGUAGCGGCGCCGUAUUCGGUCUAUCGUCGGACGUUUUUUGGUAUUUUAAAAAUAUGUUGCGGGGUGCCCGUUUUCCCUCUCAUCUUCGCCUAGCCCCUCUGCACAGUGCGUCGACCCUACUCGCGGCCAGUCCGAAAACCUCCCGGAACCCGAACCCGGGGUUGUGACCGUUGGAUCCGGAUCAACCCCGUUAUACCGCAAACCGUCAUUGGUUUGUCCAUUGCACUCCCGAUCCUAAUUAUCUCGACCAUCCGAUAUAAAUCGGAGGGUCCAGAUGCCCCUAUACCUAACCCACUAGCUAUAUAUAGAAUACCCUUGCUCAUUUAGACCAGAACCCUAGAAAUUCUCCCCCUGUCCCAUCAGCGCCGCCGCCGCACACCACGUGGUCUCCUACCUCGUUUUCCUCCACCUACCGAUCACGCACCAGAUCCAUGCCGAGCCAAGCCAGAGCCAAUCCCCUCUUCCCUCCUUGAUCGGUUCCCAGCCAGCCCCGCACCUCGCCUCAGCCUGCUCCUCUUGCAUGCGUUGUUCCCGCUUCCCUCCCGAGCAGCCCGAGGAACCGGAGCCGCGGCCUCCCGGCUGUGUUCGAGCCGCAGCAGCAAGGUGACCGAGCCUAGCUGCAGGAGCAGCCGAGCCGCCCCAUGGGGCCUCGAUCCAACAGCUGCAGCACCUACGUCGGCUAGGAGCGCCCCCAUGCCUGGAGCUGAUUCUUACCCGCGUCCCGCACCAAGUAGCAGCAGCAGCAACCCCGGUCGCCCUAAGAACCUGCAGGCCAGAGACCUCUCCUCCUCUCUCAUCUAGUCUCUUUUCCUCUCCUCAAGAUCUUUUCCUCUUUCUGUGUAUAGUGCAGCAGCAGGAGAAACCAUGGCGCCCACUCUCGUGUCUGCUGGAGCUGUGCCCGACGCCUACAGCCUCGGGAACGGGAUCCCCUCGUCCGGUUAUGCCCGGCCCGCUGGUGAAGAUCCCCGUCGAAGCCGCCCCUGCAGUCUCUGAUGAGCUGAGCCGCCACAGCCUGCAUCCCGUCCUGGCAACACAGAUAUCUCUGUUUCGUGAUUCAGUUUCGUCACACUUGCCCCACGGUAUGGUUCAUCUGGCACAAACCCUGCAAUAUAUCACUCAAACAUGCAUAGGUCAAUUGGCUUGUGACAACCGGUUCCAUCCCAGAGAUCUGGGGUUCGAAUCCCAGUAGCGCCAUAUUUAUUUUGCCAGUUUUUUCAUUAAAGUCGUUGUAAGGGUGCUUCACCUAGCGCAAUACUGCUUCUGUGAGCAUAAUUCUUGUGUAGCUAACUGGUAAGUCUGUUGUAUAGCGACCGUGAGGUCCUGGGUUCGAGUCCCCGGUGUGCCCUUUUGUUUUUCUGGUGUGUUAACUUGGUUCGAGUCAUAGCUUCCUAGCCCGAUGGUUCUACUAGUUCAACUAGCAUGGGCUAGCCCAGUGGCUGUGUGUGUGUGCGUGUCUCUAGGAGAGGUGCAGGUUUGAUCCCCCCACAUGCACAUUUUUUUCUUUUAUUUUGAGUGUGUGUGUUGUGCGUUCUAGGCCCACUUGCAUACACCAACUAGGGGCCCUGGUGUGCAUGGCCAGUGGGACCCCGUGACGAUGAUACGUAUAUUGUUUUCUGUAGUAUUUUUGAGGUAUUUCCAAAUCUGGAAUAUUCUAGAAGAAGAAUAUGCAAAAUCUGGCAUAUAAGAACAACCCCCUGUUCUUGUUAAUAUCGGAGUUUGAUCCUGUGUAGUUUUCCCUUUGUUGUUUGUGGUGUUUUUCUUCAUGCAUUUAUAGCACUGUAAUAUAUGGAUUUGGGGUAGGAGAACCCAAGGAAUCCAAUGAAGACACUAGUUUCCAGUUCUGAGCAGUUCUGCAGAAGUGUCACUUUGUGAUGAGGUGGCACUUGUUUACCGAUGCAGGAUGGGUUAAGUGCAUCAAUAGGAUUUGAGCAUCCAUGCAUCAUAUUGGGUAGUGCAUCCUCUUGUGCAUGUCGUGUGGUGAAUAUGUUUGUUGAUGCUUGUUUUCGGUUCCCUUCGUCUCGAUAGAGUUCCGCAAGCGUGUCGGAUUGUGAGGACCCGUUCGACUACAUCGGUUCGUGUGCUUCACGAGUUGUUCUUCUUCCAAGCGGGAUCUCAGGCAAGAUGACCAUUUCCCUAGAUACCAUUACUAUCAUUGCCAUGCUAGCUUUACCGCCUCUAUCGAUUAUGUCUCGUUGCCUACCACAUGUUAAAUAUCAGCCUCUCAAUCAUGACAUGAUAACCUUCAACCUGUUCGACCUAG
RNAcentral lists this long non-coding RNA (7984 nucleotides) under Hordeum vulgare. RNAcentral describes it as "long non-coding RNA (HVUL_LNC003207)". The record is from RNAcentral. Lineage: Eukaryota; Viridiplantae; Streptophyta; Magnoliopsida; Poales; Poaceae.